UACGUAGGGUGCGAGCGUGGUCCGGAAUUAUUGGGCGUAAAGAGCUCGUAGGCGGUCUGUCGCGUCGAUCGUGAAAACUUGGGGCUUAACCCUGAGCUUGCGGUCGAUACGGGCAUGACUGGAGUUCGGCAGGGGAGACUGGAAUUCCUGGUGUAGCGGUGAAAUGCGCAGAUAUCAGGAGGAACACCGGUGGCGAAGGCAGGUCACUGGGCCGCAACUGACGCUGAGGAGCGAAAGCAUGGGGAGCGAACAGG
RNAcentral lists this ribosomal RNA (254 nucleotides) under uncultured bacterium. RNAcentral describes it as "partial 16S ribosomal RNA". It matches the Rfam family "Bacterial small subunit ribosomal RNA", at positions 524 to 776 of the family's 1533-position model. The record is from RNAcentral.